GUCGAGCGGAAGGCCCUUCGGGGUACUCGAGCGGCGAACGGGUGAGUAACACGUGAGUAACCUGCCCUAGGCUUUGGGAUAACCCCGGGAAACCGGGGCUAAUACCGAAUAUGACCUCUGGUCGCAUGACUGGUGGUGGAAAGUUUUUCGGCCUGGGAUGGGCUCGCGGCCUAUCAGCUUGUUGGUGGGGUGAUGGCCUACCAAGGCGACGACGGGUAGCCGGCCUGAGAGGGCGACCGGCCACACUGGGAUUGAGACACGGCCCAGAUUCUUACGGGAGGCAGCAGUGGGGAAUAUUGCACAAUGGGCGGAAGCCUGAUGCAGCGACGCCGCGUGAGGGAUGACGGCCUUCGGGUUGUAAACCUCUUUCAGCAGGGACGAAGCGUAAGUGACGGUACCUGCAGAAGAAGCGCCGGCCAACUACGUGCCAGCAGCCGCGGUAAGACGUAGGGCGCGAGCGUUGUCCGGAUUUAUUGGGCGUAAAGAGCUCGUAGGCGGCUUGUCGCGUCGACUGUGAAAACCCGCGGCUCAACCGCGGGCCUGCAGUCGAUACGGGCAGGCUAGAGUUCGGUAGGGGAGACUGGAAUUCCUGGUGUAGCGGUGAAAUGCGCAGAUAUCAGGAGGAACACCGGUGGCGAAGGCGGGUCUCUGGGCCGAUACUGACGCUGAGGAGCGAAAGCGUGGGGAGCGAACAGGAUUAGAUACCCUGGUAGUCCACGCUGUAAACGUUGGGCGCUAGGUGUGGGGGGCCUCUCCGGUUCCCUGUGCCGCAGCUAACGCAUUAAGCGCCCCGCCUGGGGAGUACGGCCGCAAGGCUAAAACUCAAAGGAAUUGACGGGGGCCCGCACAAGCGGCGGAGCAUGCGGAUUAAUUCGAUGCAACGCGAAGAACCUUACCUGGGUUUGACAUCGCCGGAAAUCCUCCAGAGAUGGGGGGUCCUUCGGGGCCGGUGACAGGUGGUGCAUGGCUGUCGUCAGCUCGUGUCGUGAGAUGUUGGGUUAAGUCCCGCAACGAGCGCAACCCUCGUUCGAUGUUGCCAGCGCGUUAUGGCGGGGACUCAUCGAAGACUGCCGGGGUCAACUCGGAGGAAGGUGGGGAUGACGUCAAGUCAUCAUGCCCCUUAUGUCCAGGGCUUCACGCAUGCUACAAUGGCCGGUACAAUGGGCUGCGAUACCGUGAGGUGGAGCGAAUCCCAAAAAGCCGGUCUCAGUUCGGAUCGGGGUCUGCAACUCGACCCCGUGAAGUCGGAGUCGCUAGUAAUCGCAGAUCAGCAACGCUGCGGUGAAUACGUUCCCGGGCCUUGUACACACCGCCCGUCACGUCACGAAAGUCGGCAACACCCGAAGCCGGUGGCCCAACCCC
Molecule: ribosomal RNA, 1362 nt
Filed under: Micromonospora sp.
Lineage: Bacteria; Bacillati; Actinomycetota; Actinomycetes; Micromonosporales; Micromonosporaceae
Description: bacterial SSU rRNA
Rfam family: Bacterial small subunit ribosomal RNA
Source: RNAcentral